Long non-coding RNA from Homo sapiens (human), 949 nucleotides. Ensembl annotates it as PMS1 homolog 2, mismatch repair system component pseudogene 3. Its record names the gene PMS2P3. NCBI's taxonomy places the organism in Eukaryota, Metazoa, Chordata, Mammalia, Primates, Hominidae. The record is from Ensembl.
GAGUCUUCAGGUCGCCGCUUGCUCUCGUUCCUAGGGUUUGGCCUGCAGUGGACGAGCAUCGCAUAGCCUGCGGGGCUGGAUGCUGACCGCCCGGGCCAGCACCUAGGCGGACGCGGAGCUGUGCAGACCAGGGUCUAUCAGCCACAGUCUCUGCAUGUUUCCAAGAGCAACAGGAAAUGAACACAUUGCAGGGGCCAGUGUCAUUCAAAGAUGUGGCUGUGGAUUUCACCCAGGAGGAGUGGCGGCAACUGGACCCUGAUGAGAAGAUAGCAUACGGGGAUGUGAUGUUGGAGAACUACAGCCAUCUAGUUUCUGUGGGGUAUGAUUAUCACCAAGCCAAACAUCAUCAUGGAGUGGAGGUGAAGGAAGUGGAGCAGGGAGAGGAGCCGUGGAUAAUGGAAGGUGAAUUUCCAUGUCAACAUAGUCCAGAACCUGCUAAGGCCAUCAAACCUAUUGAUCGGAAGUCAGUCCAUCAGAUUUGCUCUGGGCCAGUGGUACUGAGUCUAAGCACUGCAGUGAAGGAGUUAGUAGAAAACAGUCUGGAUGCUGGUGCCACUAAUAUUGAUCUAAAGCUUAAGGACUAUGGAGUGGAUCUCAUUGAAGUUUCAGACAAUGGAUGUGGGGUAGAAGAAGAAAACUUUGAAGGCUUAAUCUCUUUCAGCUCUGAAACAUCACACAUGUAAGAUUCAAGAGUUUGCCGACCUAACUGAAGUUGAAACUUUCGGUUUUCAGGGGGAAGCUCUGAGCUCACUGUGUGCACUGAGGUGAUACAAUGUUUUUAUCCAUUCACUUGACCCCUUAGAAAAACCUCUCAGAAAGUUAAUUGGAAUCGUUAUUUACAAUUUUCUAUCUCGGUAUCUCAGCUUCUAGCUUCUGAAUUCUGUUUUGUCUCACUGCCAAUCUAAGUCCUAGUACUUCUGAAAUGUGGGAAAUAAAUGAAUGAAAUGAA